Molecule: RNA transcript, 3994 nt
Organism: Callithrix jacchus (white-tufted-ear marmoset)
Lineage: Eukaryota; Metazoa; Chordata; Mammalia; Primates; Cebidae
Gene name: long intergenic non-protein coding RNA 2694
Source: RefSeq, a predicted model, not a curated record
AAGGAUUCUUCCAUUCUGGGUUGGGAAUCUACAAUCCCCUUGAUGUAACUACUUGCCAGAUGGUUGAACUAUCAAAUUGUUUCUGGGGUUCAGACUAUAGAACCCACUGAGGCAGAAAUGUGGGAACUUGGUAGGAAAACAAAGAUGACUGUGUGUUGGGUACUUAAAGAAGGUACAAAGUCUUUUCCAGGGAAGUUUUGUUAAAAGUGCAUCAGGAACAAGAGGUGAAUUAUAUAACUUUCUUCAGAAGCCACAUCUACCUGUAAUCAGCCAUCAGAGGCUGAGGAAGGUCAGAUCAUCUACUGUCUUCCUUAUCAUCACCACCACCACCAGCAGCAGCAAUAGCAGCAGAGUUCUCUGCCAUACUCUAUUACUAGAGCUAAAGAUUGCAUGUGAUUAUAGACAUUUAUUAUUCUGGUCAUUGUCAUGGUGAUCUUUGGGGCAAGAUCUGAGAGGAAAACUCUCUCCUAGCCAUAUCUGGAGGCCAAUGUCCUUAAACAGAAAACUGGGGUCAUACUCUGUAAAACCUACCAGACCAAGUAAUCCAGAGCUGGGAUGGGGGCAGGAUCUUUUUAGAGUAAGACUUGCCUUCCAAGCCACAUAACUGUCAUCUAGAGCUUGUCACUGCUGACAAGUUUCCUUCUUGCUGCCAGCUUGUUCUGUGUCACUCAGGGCUCUCAUCAGUAAUUUAGCCCUAAGAGGGGUACAGGAAAGAUUAAAACAAGGAAUGCUAUGUGUGUGGGGAAAUCAUUCCCUUAAAGUCUAUCUUGCCAGCAAAUUUUAAGUGGCAGGAGCAGAAGUGACGACCACAGCUGGCACUUUGGGUUUUGUGGUAUGAAGCAAAGGCUUUUUAACUGAGAGAGGACUGAGCGCCCAUUCCUGGUGUCAGCUCCUGCCCCUGGAAGGCUGGUUGGCCGGAAUGUGAUGCUGCAAUGGGGACUGUGUCUCAGCUGUCAGGACCUGAAUUCCAGAGGUGAAUUCUGACUCAUGUUUUGGGUUUGGACUGGAGCAAAGAGCCUGAGUUGCUGUUGGCCAAAUGCUGGCCUGCACUUGUCAGACUGGGCUGAUGACUUCCUCCCUGUUCUAUCCUUCACCUCUUAUGCCAUGGUUUUGGGAGGCACUGUGCUCAGCAAGCUGAACUGCGUUUUGGGUGUGUGACUAGGGUGCCAGCCAGGCCAGGGAUGCCCAGAACUGGAAGAAGCACAGGGGCAGGACCACAGCAGAGGCUGAUCAGGAAGCUGCCCUACUGAGGGCUCUGCUGAAGGCUGCAGCCUCUCUGCUGAGAGUCAACCACUGUGCUGACUCACCAUCCUUGUGGUUGAGAACAUAUCAGCAAAUUGGUGGCUGUAAUGAGCCCUGGAGCUGCAAAAUAUAGGCCAGGGAACCUCAGCCGGAAGGGGCUUCAGUUAGCGACAGUUUUUCUAUUCUGAUAUGGAGUUACAAGGGACCCAAGAGGACCUGGGCAUUUCCCUCUGUAGUCCCCAGAGGGACAAUGAAACCAGGCCAGGAAGCAAGGCUAAGAGCAAGAGCAGCAUUUGUCUGCAGGGGCCUGUUUGGACUGCUGGAGGAAACCUGAGGCUCAGAGCAAGCGAACAUCUCACCCAGGGCCACCGAUAAGAGCUCGGGGAUUGGAACCUAGGAGAAGAUGCUUCCCUUCUCUUCUCCAAGGGUCCUUUUGGGGCAGGCAUGUUGUUCGAGCUCCAGCUCAUGUCUUCAGACCAUGCUGGGUCCAAGGAAAUGCAUGGAUCUCCUCCAUUACAAAGCUUGACUCCAAAAGAAGCCUGGAAGUGGCUCCCAGCCCCUCCGACCUGACUGUGCCCUGCCCUUCACCACUUCCUGUCUCCCUGUGACCCAGCGGCAGAUGCAUCUGUGGGAGCUGCUGCUUGGGAAAGUCCACCUGGGGGAGAGCAUGCCAACCUAUCCUCUCAGAUCCUCUGGGACUUCCUUUCUCCACCCAAACUAGGCCUGGAGGUUGAUGUCGGUGUGGUGUGGAAGAUGUGGGGAGAAGCUGCAUGUAGCAUCUUACUAGCUCUUUCUUAAAACUUGCCUCUCCCUGUCAUUGUUAGUCUAUUUUAUAACUCACACUCCAGCAGGAGGGAAGUAAAGGAGCUUACCCUGUUCACAGAUCCUGUAACCUCUGGUGGUUGUUACCUCAUAGCUGGUGCAGUGUCUUUUGAGCUUGGCAGUUUCGGGUGGACUCAAAUGUCUGUUCUUUGCAGUCUUUCUGGGGGUGGUAGCAGAUAAAGAGAAGAGAACAGGUUCUUACUGACGACUGAUUCAUGAAGAACUCAUGUUCUUCGUGUGCAACAGUUAAAGCCCUUCCACAAAUGUAUGAGUGGGUGUUAUACUGUGAUAACCUGGGUAUCGCCAAGAUGGCUUCCUUGGGGUUUUUGUCUCCUUAGGCCUACCCGAAGGCUCUCUUCUCAGUCACAGGGGUUGCAUUUACUUCGUCCCUGGCUUGCUCUGGGCCUCAGUUUCCCUAUUCUAGGACAGAAGAAAUCUGUGCUUUAUAUAUAUAUAUAUAUAUAUAUAUAUAUAAAAUAUGGUCCUGAUAGAAGUCCAUUGGUGAUUUUGGCCUGUUCCCUCCUCAAGGUUAAUAGUCCAGGUAAUUUCCUCAGGGGUCCUGGGUGGCCUGUUGUGGGUGGACCCAUGAAGUGUCUAGAUUUGCUGUGAUAGGAGCCACCUCAGGUUUCUGUGGAGAUAAGCCCUGCCCCUCAUUCACACUCCGAGCUUGAAAAGUCCCUUACUCAGCUUUGGAAUGGGAACUAGAAAGACUAAGCAGGGCCUCUCAGGGGUUCCUUCUAGGGUCUCUCAGAAGAGAAGCAAGCAGUCUUGGCUGAGAUACAUCUGAGGUUGUCACUCAGCACAUGACUGGGGCUCAGCAACGACCAGCCCACAACCAUCCUGCCUUUCCCCAAGGGGCUGGGCUCCAGCUGUGGAGGGCGGGCAGGAGACUCCUUUGCCUUCCAACACGGUCUGGCCUGUCUCGGGUCCUGCACGUCUUUUCUCUACCAAUUUUGUGGCUGUGGUUAACUUAGCUAAACUUUCAGUGAAAUAACGUCUAGUGGCAUUCCUUUACAUUUUCCAUGUGCUGUUUUUUCCAUAACUCCAUCUUCUUCAGGGCUGAGUUUGGGUCUUCAUAUUUCCACCCACAGGGCCUAGUGAAGCUUCGCCCUGUGCUCCAACUUGCCUGCCCCAGACUUCUUGGAUGGACGUUGUCAAUCCGGUCAUAUUUGAGAGUGAAGCUGCCACCUAGUGGUCACUGGAGGUGUGCCUGCCUUUUCAUGCGUUCUCUUGCUACUGGUCACUGGAAAUAUCAGUGUUGAUGGCUUUCUUCUAGACUGACUUAGAAACUGUGCUGUGAAUCAGACCAAACAAUUUAUUCGCUUCAAAUCCCUAUUGUAAAGACAUUUAAUAUAAAGAAAUGUUUUCAAAUCAAAAUAAAUAAUGAAGCAAACAUCAGAUAGCAUGUACUCCUUUGCCAAACUAGAACACGCAUAUUUUGACUCAAUUUAAGAUCAGAUGAAGUCUUACAAAGACAAAGUAAAUCAAGUAACAAACAGCCCAGCAAAAAGUGGAUUGAUCGUUUUCUUUUAUUCAACACAAAUCUACUUAGUGCUGGGCUGGCUCUGGUAGACACCCAAGUAUUUAGUGGGAACCCGAGCAGCUCAUUAGAAUACAACGUGGCAACUUAAAAUUGGGUGAAGGAGUGCAGAGGGAGGAAAACAAAGAGGACUUGCUAACUCUGCAGAGCAGUGACAUUUGAACAGACUUGUCAAGGAAGACUCGAUUUAGUCAGGUAGAGGGACAGAAGGCAGGGAGAGAAUUCUGCCCGACUAAGGAAGAGCAUGUGCAAGGCCUAGGGUAAUGGAAGAGAAGAAUGAUUCAGCUGUCUGGAAGAGGUUGUCUUAGUUGGUUUCCUGUCACUGUAACAGACUACUCCAGAAUGGGUAAUUUAUAAUGAAGAGAAAUUUAUUUAGCUUAUGGUUUUGGA